UGAUGGAUAAGGAGCAAAUUUGAUUGAGAAAACUUUAAUUUGCAACUUUAUCCAUUUCACU
This 61-nucleotide microRNA precursor is filed under the name Strongyloides ratti. Its description in RNAcentral is "microRNA str-mir-7880n precursor". Lineage: Eukaryota; Metazoa; Nematoda; Chromadorea; Rhabditida; Strongyloididae. The record is from miRBase by way of RNAcentral.